This 830-nucleotide ribosomal RNA is filed under the name uncultured beta proteobacterium. RNAcentral's name for it is "bacterial SSU rRNA". It matches the Rfam family "Bacterial small subunit ribosomal RNA", at positions 55 to 872 of the family's 1533-position model. Lineage: Bacteria; Pseudomonadati; Pseudomonadota; Betaproteobacteria. The record is from RNAcentral.
AUGCAGUCGAACGGGGCACGAGAGCAAUCGUGGUGGCGAGUGGCGAACGGGUGAGUAAUAUAUCGGAACGUGCCCCGGCGUGGGGGAUAACGCAUGCCAACGGUGUGCUGAUACCGCAUACCGAUCUAUGGAUGAAAACGGGAGACGCGGACGAUCCUCGCGCGAUUGAAGCGAUCUAUAUCGAAUUAAUUUGCUGGUGGGGUAGAAACCCACCUAGGCGACGCAUCUGAUACCUGGUCUUGACAGGACAGACCAGACCACACUGGAAGUGAUAGACGGCUCCAGACUCCUACGGGAGGCAGGAAUGGGGAAUUUUGGACGAUGGGCGCACGCCUGAUCCAUCCAUGCCGCGUGCAGGAUGAAGGCCUUCGGGCUGUAAACUGCUUUUGUACGGAACGAAGCGGCUCUUUCUAGUAAAGACGGCUGAUGACGGUACCGUAAGAAUAAGCACCGGCUAACUACGUGCCAGCAGCCGCGCUAAUACGUACGGAGCGAGCGUUAAUCGAACUUACUGGCCGUAAAGCGUGCGCACGCGGUUAUAUAAUACAGAUGUAAAAUCCCUGGGCUCAAUCUGGCAGCUGCAUGUGUGACUGUAUAGCUAGAGUACGGCACAGGGAGAUGGAAUUCCUCGCGUAGCAGCGAAAUGCAUACAUAUGCGGAGGAACACCGAUGGGGAACGAAAUCCCCUGGACGUGUAAUGACUCUCAUGCACGAGAGCAUGCGUGAGCAAACAGGAUUAGAUACCCUGGCAGUCCACGCCCUACACGAUGUCUACUGACUGGUGGGUCGUCACUGACUCACUAACUAUACUAACGCGUGAAGUUGACCCC